AAAUGAAUAGACGGGGGCCCGCACAAGCAGUGGAGCAUGUGGUUUAAUUCGAUGCAACGCGAAGAACCUUACCCAGGCUUGACAUAUAGAGGACGGCAUUAGAGAUAGUGCUUCCGCAAGGCCUCUAUACAGGUGCUGCAUGGCUGUCGUCAGCUCGUGCCGUGAGGUGUUGGGUUAAGUCCCGCAACGAGCGCAACCCUCGUCGCUAGUUACCAACAUGUAAUGAUGGGGACUCUAGCGAGACUGCCUAGGUUAACUAGGAGGAAGGUGAGGAUGACGUCAAGUCCGCAUGGCCUUUAUGUCUGGGGCUACACACGUGCUACAAUGGUCGGUACAGAAGGCAGCGAAGCCGAAAGGUGGAGCAAAUCCUCAAAGCCGAUCCCAGUUCGAAUAGAAGUCUGCAACUCGACUUCUUGAAGUUGGAAUUGCUAGUAAUGACGUGUCAGCAAUAACGUCGUGAAUACGUUCCCGGGCCUUGUACACACCGCCCGU
This 492-nucleotide ribosomal RNA is filed under the name uncultured bacterium. RNAcentral describes it as "bacterial SSU rRNA". It matches the Rfam family "Bacterial small subunit ribosomal RNA", at positions 903 to 1397 of the family's 1533-position model. The record is from RNAcentral.